GAUCAUGGCUCAGGAUGAACGCUAGCGGCAGGCUUAAUACAUGCAAGUCAAGGGGGUAGCAAUACAACCGGCGCACGGGUGAGUAACGCGUACACAACAUACCAUAUACUGGAGUAUAGCUUUGGGAAACUGAAGGUAAUCCUCCAUAACAUUGCGAGAGGGCAUCUGAUUGCAAUUAAAGUUUCGGCGGUAUAUGAUUGGUGUGCGUUUGAUUAGCUAGUUGGUAGGGUAACGGCCUACCAAGGCGACGAUCAAUAGCUGGCGUGAGAGCGCGACCAGCCACACUGGAACUGAGACACGGUCCAGACUCCUACGGGAGGCAGCAGUAGGGAAUAUUGGACAAUGGAGGAAACUCUGAUCCAGCCAUGCCGCGUGAUAGAUGAAGGCCCUCUGGGUUGUAAAUAUCUUUUAUCUGGGAAGAAACAAUCUUAUUCUUAAGAUCUUGACGGUACCAGAGGAAUAAGCACCGGCUAACUCCGUG
RNAcentral lists this ribosomal RNA (481 nucleotides) under uncultured bacterium. RNAcentral's name for it is "bacterial SSU rRNA". It matches the Rfam family "Bacterial small subunit ribosomal RNA", at positions 15 to 507 of the family's 1533-position model. The record is from RNAcentral.